GUGCGAGACCGAUAGCGAACAAGUACCGUGAGGAAAAGAUGAAAAGAACUUUGAAAAGAGAGUUAAAGAGUACCUGAAACUGCUGAAAGGGAACCGAAUCGUAUCCAGUGUCUAUAAUCCAUGGCAUAUUUCAUUGGCGAGUGAGUGCGUGCAGCGUUUUGGAAGUGGUUUUCCGCUCCUGUCGUUGUUGUGCAUUUGCUUGCUGGUGCCCUGUGCUGUGGUGGGACGUCAGAGUCAGUUUGUGUGUCGCGGGAAAUGGUUAUUGGGGAGGUAGGUCGCUUCGGUGGCUAUUAUAUCCUGGUAACUAGUCGUCGUGGCUGAGACUGAGGUGCCUACAACGUGCUUUCGAGUGUGCGGGUUUCUCGUGUGGCUGUUUGCUUUGAUAGCUUACUAUGUUGGUGAAUAAGUUGUGCGAUUGAGACCUGUAUUAACUUGUUGCUGUUCGGGACUUUG
RNAcentral lists this ribosomal RNA (453 nucleotides) under uncultured Oomycota. RNAcentral describes it as "LSU rRNA". It matches the Rfam family "Eukaryotic large subunit ribosomal RNA", at positions 326 to 628 of the family's 3401-position model. The record is from RNAcentral. Lineage: Eukaryota; Oomycota.